RNAcentral lists this long non-coding RNA (777 nucleotides) under Marmota monax (woodchuck). Lineage: Eukaryota; Metazoa; Chordata; Mammalia; Rodentia; Sciuridae. The record is from RNAcentral.
GAGGGAGUUCUCAUCUGAUUGUUUCUCUAUUCUCAGAGGGCAGCCGCCAAGGGCAGUUGCUGAGCAGAGUGGAGAGGAACAGGUGCUGGGGUUGUCAGGGGAGACAUGUGACUCUGGGGUAGGAAGGGGUCUGUGGCUGCCUUUAUUGGGCAUGUCAAGAGCAGUACGGUGGACACCCACUGGGUGCUCACCCUGAGCCAGGCUCUUACUAUCUCAUUUAAUCUGCAGAACAGCCUGCAGGGUGCAUACCACAGGGCCAUUGUAUAGAUGAGGAGCUGUGUGUCCAAGGUCACACAGCCGGUGAGAGGCAGAGGUAGAAUGGCAGACCAGGUGUACGCAGUGACAGGGGACGGAGGGUCCUCCACAUGACUGAAGAAGACACCUUGCUUGCCUCUUCAUGUUCUACCUCCCCUUUUGACCCAGCUGGGCACCACUUCAUGCCACUGCCAACCUCCCUGCCAAGUCUCGUUUACCAGGAAUGGCAAAUCUGGGGGGCCCUAAAGAAGUCAAUGGCUGGGGACCUUUAAAUGUCCUACCACAAGGGCCCCUCACUGCCCUUAAUCAGGGGCACACUUCUGUUUUGCCACCCACUCUGUCUCAUACUUGCAUCUUCCCUUGUGACUUACAUGUGCCUAGUAUGUGUGAGGUGCUGCACUGGAUGCUGCUGAAACAGACUCAGUUCCUAACCCCCCAGGACGGGGGCACCCCCUGGGAGGCACUUGGAAGUGUGAUCCAUCACGGCCCGGGGGGUGUGGUUGGCUGGUUCUGGGCUGCAGC